GAAGGGGGCUAGCGUUGCUCGGCAUCACUGGGCGUAAAGCGCACGUAGGCGGAUUGCUAAGUCAGGGGUGAAAUCCUGGAGCUCAACUCCAGAACUGCCUUUGAUACUGGCGAUCUCGAGUUCGGGAGAGGUGAGUGGAACUGCGAGUGUAGAGGUGAAAUUCGUAGAUAUUCGCAAGAACACCAGUGGCGAAGGCGGCUCACUGGCCCGAUACUGACGCUGAGGUGCGAAAGCGUGGGGAGCAAACAGG
Molecule: ribosomal RNA, 250 nt
Filed under: uncultured bacterium
Lineage: Bacteria
Description: partial 16S ribosomal RNA
Rfam family: Bacterial small subunit ribosomal RNA
Source: RNAcentral